UACGUAGGGUGCAAGCGUUGUCCGGAAUUAUUGGGCGUAAAGAGCUCGUAGGCGGUUCGUCGCGUCGGCUGUGAAAACCCGGAGCUCAACUCCGGGCCUGCAGUCGAUACGGGCGGACUGGAGUUCGGCAGGGGAGACUGGAAUUCCUGGUGUAGCGGUGAAAUGCGCAGAUAUCAGGAGGAACACCGGUGGCGAAGGCGGGUCUCUGGGCCGAUACUGACGCUGAGGAGCGAAAGCGUGGGGAGCGAACAGG
This 253-nucleotide ribosomal RNA is filed under the name uncultured bacterium. Its description in RNAcentral is "partial 16S ribosomal RNA". It matches the Rfam family "Bacterial small subunit ribosomal RNA", at positions 524 to 776 of the family's 1533-position model. The record is from RNAcentral.